GGAACCCACAGCCUUGGGGGACCCGGGACCGAGCCGCGGCGAGUCCCGGCGGAGGCGGGGUUCUGAGACCCUGGCCGGGUGGGGACCUCCUGGGGGCCCCGGCAGACAGGUAACAGGAGCAGCGGAGCAAGCGGGAGCGAGCAGUCACAGUUGAUCCUUCAGCUUAUUGGAGUCCUUGGCCUCUGGUGCUGGUGAGAACUGAGGCAGAGCAUUGGAGCGGAGGAGGCACCCCCUGCUGUCUGGUUAGGGUUCCUCAAUGUGGAGAAACAUCUUAGAGCAACAUCUCACUGGAGCCCUGAGGGCUCCCCACAGCAAAGUAAAGGGCUCUCGCUGACUUGGGGGUCUGCACUGGCUGACAGAAGGCCCUGGAGAGUGAGAAUGAAAGGGAUUUUCUGAAAAGUUCUUAGCAGAUACGAGCAGACUGUUGGCCUCCCCAAGGAGCACAGAAGGGGGCCUGGUGGGCCCAGAAGACAGGUUUGGAGAGGAAUGGGUGCAGGCGACGGCUCUUGGUGCUGACUUGCUUCACCUGCGCUGCUCACACUCACUG
Nycticebus coucang (slow loris) is the source of this 547-nucleotide long non-coding RNA. RefSeq lists it as uncharacterized. Lineage: Eukaryota; Metazoa; Chordata; Mammalia; Primates; Lorisidae. The transcript is spliced from 4 exons. The record is from RefSeq and is a predicted model, not a curated record.